This is a non-coding RNA of Salvelinus sp. IW2-2015, 3344 nucleotides long. Lineage: Eukaryota; Metazoa; Chordata; Actinopteri; Salmoniformes; Salmonidae. The record is from RefSeq and is a predicted model, not a curated record.
AGCACAAGGUGCACCUGUGUAACGAUCAUGCUGUUUAAUCAGCUUCUUGAUACGCCACAACUGUAUGGUGUAUYGAUUAUCUUGUUAAAUAGGAAAUGCUCACUAACAGGAUGUAAACAAAUUUGUGAUCAAACCUUUAGAGAAAUAAGCUUUUUGUGCAUAUGAAACCAUUUUUGGGAUCUUUUAUUUCAGCUCAUGAAACAUAGGACCAACAAUUUACAUGUGUUUAUAAUUUUGUGUAGUGUAUAUGACUUGGGGGCAUCAUGCAAUGACUUAAGAAUCAUGGGACUGCGAAGUACGCACAUAAGCGACUCAACUUUUGGGAAGCUGCACAUGUGAGCUACUGUGCAGUUUUGAGGGUAUGGCCAUUUGACAAGGUAAAUUGGUUCAUGGAUAGAAAAGUUGGGAAAGGUAACUCCUGGAAAAGUGGAUAAAGUAAUUGCUUUCAAAAAGUUGUAGGGUUUCGUUGCACACUAUUUUAACUCUACAACAAACAGGCUAUUAGUUUUGUAAGGACAUACAGAAAUAAUUGCGACAGUAWUGACUCUGGUCUCAGAAAUAGGUUCAGCAGAGGCAACAACGGAAGAUUUCGGAAGCUCAUUUACCUCCAAACGGUGACAAUCGUCACUUCUCCAGUUCUUCAUCAACCUUAACGGCGGUAUUUCAAUGGAUGAUGGGUUCGUGGACCACGAGUUUCCAAUGGGAGAUGUUUCUUCAACCCGCGAUGGAAUGGAGACACCCAAAGGAUAUCUGCCCUUCAGCACAGUUCAUAGUGGAUGGAGCACCACGUAUGGACGUGUGUCAGGGAGUUCUGAAUGACUGCUGGUUCCUGUCUGUGKUGGCGUCCCUCUCCAUGCAUCGCCYGCUGAUGGAGAGGGUGGUGCCCAAUGGGCAGAGMUUCCAGGAAAGUUACAAUGGCAGAUUUUACUUCCAGGUCAGCCUCUGGAUGUUAAACACACCUAAUUAGGUUGUCAUUAUCUGUCAAGGGUUGUUGAAUUUGCACUCCUGUAUAUAGGAGAUAUGGGCGAAUAACUAUUUCGUUGGAGUUUGUUGAUGUCCAUCUCUGAGAUUAAAAUGAAAACCUGUGUGUGUGUGUACCUGUCUGUAGUUCUGCAAUACGACGAGUGGGAUAAGGUGAAGGUUGACGUGUUGUGUGUGUGUGGGUUGAUUUUCCCACAGGGCCCCCUUGAGUAGAGAAAUGAGUUUGGAAUCCUGUUCAGUCAUGCCUACUCUGUAACCGGGAUUGAACAAGUUGGGUGACUCUCUGUCUCCCMCACUCCUCCACUCCCUCAGGUGAAGACUGUCCUGUGCGUGUGUGUGCAUKCUUGGGGCAGGUUCCUCAAAGUGUUUGUCUGUCCAAAGACCUGAGUGGAGUUGUCCAUGAGGAGGAGCAGAAGCGUCUGGAGUUCAGAAGGAGGACGGGGCGUUCCGGCUGGUUCUGACAGAACCCUCAGUUCCACUUGACCCUGUUGGAGGAGGAUAAUGACCCCAGUGACCUUGAGCUGACCUGUUCCUUCCUGGUGGCCCUCAUGCAGAAGCCCCAGAAACUUAGAGGAGUCCACCUGGGCAUCGGCCUGGAUAUCUACAAGACCUCUUUUCCACGCCUGUCGGCUCUCCUGAAGCCACACGACAGCUCUUUUAAGAAGCACUGCAACAAGGGGAGUGUCGACCUUUGGAGCUUCUCAACCUGCUAACAGAGGCCAUAAAAUGCRGAGGUAAGGGUUUGGCUCCAAACAUGGACAACUAUCCUCCCUCAUAAAUGGGAGCCAAGACACACCUUUUGUGUACACACUUCCGCUUUACAACAUUGCCUCGCCCACAUGCAUCUUGGAAAUUCUGGAGAACUGUACGAAUCCCUCUACUGAUUUAGUAGUCUUCCAUAAGCCAUAACCACUGUGGGAAAAUUCAGGAAGAAGUGAUGUCACUGCAGGAGGAGGUUUUAACUUUUCCUAACUGAUGUUUUGUCUGUGUGGCUAUAUAUAUAUAUAUAUAUCAUGUCUCAGCGUGGCUAUAUAGUUAGUAGUUGAUAUAGAUCAAUAGCCAUGUUAAUAUAGGUUAAAUGUUUGCCAGAUUCUGGUGUAGCGGUCUAAGCGCAUAUGUGCCCCCUGGCGAUGCCUCGGCUUGGCCGAUUGUUUGAAAUUCAUAGCUCCCCCCAUAAAAGGGCUAUGUAAUGUGUAACGUUACACACAUGCCAUGUAUGUACAUAGACAUACAAAGGUAGGGUAACUUGUCCACCAUGACCUCACUUGGUCUGCUGAUCUACCAAGACCUUMAUUUUGUCAUGCAUUUUUGAUGGACCAUUUCCUUGACUGCAGUGUCAACCCAGAGUCGGGGGUUAGCUCAGCUAGACUGGCAGGGGUUCCAGGCACUGUGGGACAAGAUCAGGAAAUGUAAAUGGACGAUAAGGUCUAAACCAUACUAAACCGUCUGUCAGUGGAAGGUUUACAAUUUCAAUCACUCUGUUCUUUCAAAAUGAUGAGAAGAUUGGACAGUAGUUUGAUUGGCUAAAGCAUGUUUUGUGUCUUGGAAGUCUAAUUUGGAUUGGCUAAAGGAAAUAUUAAAGUGACUUCUGAUUCAGUCAUGUGUCACUGAGCUAAUUCAAUCACACGACCUGUUGCGAUGCAUGUGAAGUGAUUGAAUUAUAUUUGUCUGAAAAGAUUAUUCAGUCAUGCUGGUCUUGAUCUUCCACUUAACAAAAGGAUAUAUUCAUGACGUUUGACAAUAACAAAUCCCAGUUGCUGGAGUACCCUGAAGUCUCACCUACCUUGAAAGCUGCAGGUAGGACACACUUAUGAUAUGACAAGCUUCCAUUGGUGCCUUUUAGGGGGCACCAAAACACCACUCUUCAUGUUCAGUCCCUAUUGGUCCAUAUGAACAGUAUGCCAACAGCAUUUACACUGCUGAAACAGCAGGGGAUGUGGUUGAACAUGAAUUGAUCUGUGUUCGUCUGGUCUGGUCUAGGCAUGGCGGUGGAUGACUUCGUCCUGCAGCUGAUUGGCCCGCGCUACACGGAGCCGGACAUGACAAUCAGUUACCCCGGUUUCCUUUAUCUGCUGAUGGAACUGGACAACAUGAUCCAUACAUUUCAAGACUAUGUAUGACAUUGUGGGAAUGGGGACCAUAUCAGUCAGCUACAGACAGUGGCUCCACAUGACGAUAUACAACUGACGAUGGCUCCACAUGACUAUGUACAGUACAACUGACCCGAUGUGCAACUGAUCCAAUCUCACUGGAUUUCAGCCCCUCCUCCGCCUGUUCAACWGGUUUUUGUUGCAAUAUUGUUUAAAAUGAAAAGUUACAGUAGAUUUACUUUGCAAUAAAGACUUCCAGUUAUUUGUUCCGAA